UCAGCUGUUGGUAUCCAAUCUGACCAGGCCUCGAUUAUCUCUGUUGUGGACUUAAGUAUCUCGGCAACGCAGAAGGUAUUAUAGUCAGUACCUGAUAGACUUGGAUAGAGCUUGCCUAGCCCUGAUUAUUUAAUUUCAGUGACAUUAAUAUUGCCUAUUUUGUUCUGAAUUUUCCUCUACUUAGGUAUAAUUCAUAUCUCAGUAAAACAAAUUUCGUUUCUAGAAAGAAUCCAACCAGCCUGCUGAAUGCAAGCAGCAAUAGAAGCGUGGUACCAAGAAAACACCACUGCCUAGAGACUGAUGCCAUAUGAUAAAGUGUAUCUAAAAUACUCUUGUGCAGUUGAGGUGAUUCCCCCACCCCUCCCCUACUGCAGCACAAUCUUAUUAAGCUAAACACUAUGUUUUAAAAUGCAUGGGUUGCUCUUUAACUUCAGAUUUUCUUUUUCCUACUUUUGGCUUACUUUUACAGUGGAAAAAUUACAAAAAUCUCUACUUCAAAAUACAAGAGAGUUUAAGACUGUAAGAUAAAGCAAGCAUGCACUCUGCAGCCUAAACACUGGUAUUUUGAAAUGUAGUGAGUGUUACACGCUUGUCACUUGCAAAUAGGGGCAGCAUUGCUCAGUGAGUCAGUAGUGAUGUUCAUGGACUUCUGAGGUGCAUCUUUCCUGUGCUGCCCAAUGUUUGUGAGCAGCCACUUAGUUUAUAGUUAAGCAUUUCCUUUGCCAUGAAGAAUUUAUAUUUAAAUGCAUUUCAGAAGCUUAAUUUUUGACCCAAUGUGACUGCACUGUGGUCAUCAUUGCUGUUUUACUCCAAUAUAGUAAUGGUUAACAGAAAUAUGUGUACCGAGAGGCUGCUCUGAAAUGUUGUGGCCACAAACUUAUUUAUUACCGUUACACACAACUUACUAACCAGCACGUCGGAAAAAAAAAACUUAUUACCUGGGCACAUUAUUUCCAGUUGCAGCCACUUCAUCUCCAGAAAAGAUGCACAUUAAGAUGCUGUGAGAGUCAUUGCCAGUUUCCUGUGGAAGUAAAAUCUUUAACACAGAUCUAUUUUUUUUUUUAUUUUUAUUAAUUGAGUGUCCAGCACACACAGCACUGUGUCCAGGCAUAGAGUGCUCCAGCCUUACCUUGUUCUACACAGUUGUAAUGUACCUUAAUAUGCUGUUUUCAAUUUGUACAGAAUAGCCAGAGUAUUCUAAUAAAGUUGUGCAACAUUAA
Molecule: long non-coding RNA, 1220 nt
Organism: Rhincodon typus (whale shark)
Lineage: Eukaryota; Metazoa; Chordata; Chondrichthyes; Orectolobiformes; Rhincodontidae
Exons: 2
Source: RefSeq, a predicted model, not a curated record